CCGCCAGACUCCUACGGGAGGCAGCAGUGGGGGAUAUUGCACAAUGGGGGGAACCCUGAUGCAGCGACGCCGCGUGGGUGAAGGAGUGCUUCGGCAUGUAAAGCCCUAUCGGCAGGGAAGAAGCAAGACGGUACCUGACUAAGAAGCCCCGGCUAACUACGUGCCAGCAGCCGCGGUAAUACGUAGGGGGCAAGCGUUAUCCGGAUUUACUGGGUGUAAAGGGGGCGCAGACGGCAGCGCAAGCCAGGAGUGAAAGCCCGGGGCCCAACCCCGGGACUGCUCUUGGAACUGCGCGGCUGGAGUGCAGGAGGGGCAGGCGGAAUUCCUGGUGUAGCGGUGAAAUGCGUAGAUAUUAGGAAGAACACCAGUGGCGAAGGCGGCUUGCUGGACAGUAA
RNAcentral lists this ribosomal RNA (395 nucleotides) under uncultured bacterium. RNAcentral describes it as "bacterial SSU rRNA". It matches the Rfam family "Bacterial small subunit ribosomal RNA", at positions 328 to 739 of the family's 1533-position model. The record is from RNAcentral.